Bombina bombina (fire-bellied toad) is the source of this 369-nucleotide long non-coding RNA. RefSeq lists it as uncharacterized. The transcript has 3 exons. The record is from RefSeq and is a predicted model, not a curated record. NCBI's taxonomy places the organism in Eukaryota, Metazoa, Chordata, Amphibia, Anura, Bombinatoridae.
GUCACCUUGCUGUUCCUACCUGUGUGUCAGGAGAGCAUGCACAACUGCUGCUAUAUGGGAACACUCUUCAGGUUCCCUAUAAAUUACAUGAGUACAUUUUGUUUUAUACGUUAGGGCAGUGGGUCUGUGAUCGUAGGUGAAGGAGGCUCGUUCUUUCAAAGAGGUUUUCAGAAUAUCAGGAGUCAGAGACCAAUUAAAGGCAGAAGAAAAUGAGAUACAACAAUCAGCAGGAAAUGGCAUGGUCAAGACAAUAGACAGGGGCUGUAGGUUCAAACCCCACAGGAGGAGCCUAUGCCAUUGAUGAGGAUGCAGUAAACACAGACACCUUUGUGUUCACAGAGGAUGAUGCAGAACGAAUUGGGAACACCA